RNAcentral lists this ribosomal RNA (1294 nucleotides) under metagenome. RNAcentral describes it as "bacterial SSU rRNA". It matches the Rfam family "Bacterial small subunit ribosomal RNA", at positions 189 to 1498 of the family's 1533-position model. The record is from RNAcentral.
AUCAAGGACUUAUGAAAGCUAUAUGCGCUGGAGGAGAACUUUGCGUCCCAUUAGGUAGUUGGUAGGGUAAUGGCCUACCAAGCCGACGAUGGGUAGCCGGCCUGAGAGGGUGAACGGCCACAAGGGGACUGAGACACGGCCCUUACUCCUACGGGAGGCAGCAGUGGGGAAUAUUGGACAAUGGACCAAAAGUCUGAUCCAGCAAUUUUGUGUGCACGAUGAAGGUCUUCGGAUUGUAAAGUGCUUUCAGGUGGGAAGAAGAAAGUGACGGUACCACCAGAAGAAGCGACGGCUAAAUACGUGCCAGCAGCCGCGGUAAUACGUAUGUCCAAGCGUUAUCCGGAAUUAUUGGGCGUAAAGCGAGUCUAGGCGGCUUGUUAAGUCAGAUGUGAAAAUGCGGGGCUCAACUCCGUAUUGCGUUUGAAACUGGCAGGCUAGAGUACUGGAGAGGUGGGCGGAACUACAAGUGUAGAGGUGAAAUUCGUAGAUAUUUGUAGGAAUGCCGAUAGUGAAGACAGCUCACUGGACAGAUACUGACGCUAAAGCUCGAAAGCGUGGGGAGCGAACAGGAUUAGAUACCCUGGUAGUCCACGCCGUAAACGAUGUUCACUGGGUGUAGGGGGUCGAACCUCUGUGCCGAAGCUAACGCGAUAAGUGAACCGCCUGGGGAGUACGCACGCAAGUGUGAAACUCAAAGGAAUUGACGGGGACCCGCACAAGCGGUGGAGCAUGUGGUUUAACUCGACGCAACGCAAGGAACCUUACCAGCACUUGACAUACAACGAACUCGUCAGAGAUGACUUGGUGCCGCUUCGAUGGAACGUUGAUACAGGUGGUGCAUGGCUGUCGUCAGCUCGUGUCGUGAGGUGUUGGGUUAAGUCCCGCAACGAGCGCAACCCCUAUCGUAUGUUACCAUCAUUAAGUUGGGGACUCAUGCGAGACUGCCUGCGACGAGCAGGAGGAAGGUGGGGAUGACGUCAAGUCAUCAUGCCCCUUAUGUGCUGGGCUACACACGUGCUACAAUGGUUGGUACAGAGAGCAGCAAUACGGCGACGUGGAGCAAAUCUCAGAAAGCCAAUCUUAGUUCGGAUCGCAGUCUGCAACUCGACUGCGUGAAGUUGGAAUCGCUAGUAAUCGCGAAUCAGCAAUGUCGCGGUGAAUACGUUCUCGGGUCUUGUACACACCGCCCGUCACACCACGAGAGUUGGUUGCACCUAAAGUAGCAGGCCUAACCAUUUAUGGAGGGAUGUUCCUAAGGUGUGAUUAGCGAUUGGGGUGAAGUCGUAACAAGGUA